UCUUAGAGGGACUGGCACUUUACAUAAAGUGCCGAGGAAAGCAAUAACAGGUCUGUGAUGCCCUAAAUGUCCGGGGCCGCACGCGAGCUACAAUGACGAUGCAAGUGAGCAUGAUUAGCUGGUUCGAAAGGAUUGGCAAACCUGUUCAAUCAUCGUCGUGACCGGGAUUGGGGUUUGUAAUUAUCCCCCAUGAACGAGGAAUUCCUAGUAAGCACAAGUCAUAAGCUUGUGCUGAUUACGUCCCUGCCCUUUGUACACACCGCCCGUCGCUACUACCGAUUGAAUGGUUUAGCAAGGUUAUUGGAUUGGCUUUUAGCGGUUUGCGCUGCUUUUAGCUGAGAAGAUGACCGAACUUGAUCAUUUAGAGGAAGUAAAAGUCGUAACAAGGUUUCCGUAGGUGAACCUGCGGAAGGAUCAUUAUCUAUUUUUAUUCCUAAACUCUUUGAUUGCGGCCUAUCAUUUUAGAGGUGUAAUGCUUCUAGUGCUAUGCUUCGAUCAUUCGCGCCUGAUACUUCCCCAAUUGGGUAUCGGGGCUACGUUACAGUCUGUUUGGCUGAGAUAGAUGGGACUGAGUGCGUGCCGUGGCCAAGUGACAGUGGUUUCACGGGAUUAGCAUUCAGGCGCUACCCAUUCACUUUCCAGCCUUCCCUGUCACCAGU
RNAcentral lists this ribosomal RNA (659 nucleotides) under Thaparocleidus tacitus. Its description in RNAcentral is "bacterial SSU rRNA". The stretch from base 1 to 420 matches the Rfam family "Eukaryotic small subunit ribosomal RNA", at positions 1409 to 1831 of the family's 1831-position model. Lineage: Eukaryota; Metazoa; Platyhelminthes; Monogenea; Dactylogyridea; Ancylodiscoididae. The record is from RNAcentral.